AGCACUGUGCCGAAAUCGGGAAACGGCUAGGGACGCCACACCCCUAGGCUGAUGUCUGACGAUGACAGUAAGCGGUGUAGGUUCGAGUCCUACCGGUGUUA
Molecule: transfer RNA, 101 nt
Filed under: Caudoviricetes sp.
Lineage: Duplodnaviria; Heunggongvirae; Uroviricota; Caudoviricetes
Description: tRNA-Gly
Source: RNAcentral